This 580-nucleotide long non-coding RNA is filed under the name Capsicum annuum. RNAcentral describes it as "long non-coding RNA (CANN_LNC019142)". Lineage: Eukaryota; Viridiplantae; Streptophyta; Magnoliopsida; Solanales; Solanaceae. The record is from RNAcentral.
AACAAUGAUACAACUAUAAGAGACAUAUAAAUAGACCAUCAAUGCAAUAACAAUGAAGUAAGAACUCAUUGGCACAUCAAUAAAGUGUUUUGGAGUCAUCAAUGCCAUAAAAAUGAAGUAGGAACUUAUUGGUAUAUCAAUGAAAUGUUUUGGAGUCAUUAAUAGCACAUGGAUCUUGUUCGAGUAACCGGAUACCUUCUGACAUUCAUUAGUGCAAUAAACAUGUAAGAUUUAGAAAACAAGUAAGUAUUAGAAUGUCUUGACAUCUUGUAGGGUGGAAACAAGUUCAUUGGUAACGUAGGACAUCAUACAAAACCAUUAUGGAUCACAUGUUAUUGAAUAACUUUGGAAACUUUCUUAAUAGAACAAUUGUUCACUUUCAUGCCAAAGAUAUAGUAUAGAGUAUGCUUUACAUACCUGACUGUCAACCUUCAAUACUAGUCCCAAAUGGACUUCUCGUCUUUUCGGAUUACUUAUCUACAAUGAACAUAUAUAGCAAUCUAGUAUUAGCGACCAAACGUCACAAUUCAAUUAUUUGAAUUCACCAAACUAGUGGUUAAGUAGUAAGCCUUAAUUACAC